GAUGAACGCUGGCGGCGUGCUUAACACAUGCAAGUCGAACGGUGAAGCCAAGCUUGCUUGGUGGAUCAGUGGCGAACGGGUGAGUAACACGUGAGCAACCUGCCCUGGACUCUGGGAUAAGCGCUGGAAACGGCGUCUAAUACUGGAUAUGAGACGUGAUCGCAUGGUCGUGUUUGGAAAGAUUUUUCGGUCUGGGAUGGGCUCGCGGCCUAUCAGCUUGUUGGUGAGGUAAUGGCUCACCAAGGCGUCGACGGGUAGCCGGCCUGAGAGGGUGACCGGCCACACUGGGACUGAGACACGGCCCAGACUCCUACGGGAGGCAGCAGUGGGGAAUAUUGCACAAUGGGCGAAAGCCUGAUGCAGCAACGCCGCGUGAGGGAUGACGGCCUUCGGGUUGUAAACCUCUUUUAGCAGGGAAGAAGCGAAAGUGACGGUACCUGCAGAAAAAGCGCCGGCUAACUACGUGCCAGCAGCCGCGGUAAUACGUAGGGCGCAAGCGUUAUCCGGAAUUAUUGGGCGUAAAGAGCUCGUAGGCGGUUUGUCGCGUCUGCUGUGAAAUCCCGAGGCUCAACCUCGGGCCUGCAGUGGGUACGGGCAGACUAGAGUGCGGUAGGGGAGAUUGGAAUUCCUGGUGUAGCGGUGGAAUGCGC
Molecule: ribosomal RNA, 650 nt
Filed under: Microbacterium sp. YIM KMY18
Lineage: Bacteria; Bacillati; Actinomycetota; Actinomycetes; Micrococcales; Microbacteriaceae
Description: bacterial SSU rRNA
Rfam family: Bacterial small subunit ribosomal RNA
Source: RNAcentral